AUGCAUCACUCGUGCACUCCGGUUCUGAGCGCGCCGUCCACACCCGCCCUGACGACUGCUCGCUCGUUUUGUUAGCC
This 77-nucleotide small RNA is filed under the name Xanthomonas fragariae. RNAcentral describes it as "sX9 sRNA". It matches the Rfam family "Xanthomonas sRNA sX9". Lineage: Bacteria; Pseudomonadati; Pseudomonadota; Gammaproteobacteria; Lysobacterales; Lysobacteraceae. The record is from RNAcentral.